RNAcentral lists this ribosomal RNA (305 nucleotides) under uncultured bacterium. RNAcentral's name for it is "bacterial SSU rRNA". It matches the Rfam family "Bacterial small subunit ribosomal RNA", at positions 337 to 640 of the family's 1533-position model. The record is from RNAcentral.
ACCUACGGGAGGCAGCAGUGGGGAAUAUUGCACAAUGGGGGAAACCCUGAUGCAGCCAAGUCGCGUGAGGGAAGACGGUCCUAUGGAUUGUAAACCUCUUUUGCCGAGGAGCAAAAAGCGGUACGUGUACCGCAUCGAGAGUACCCGGAGAAAAAGCAUCGGCUAACUCCGUGCCAGCAGCCGCGGUAAUACGGAGGAUGCGAGCGUUAUCCGGAUUUAUUGGGUUUAAAGGGUGCGCAGGCGGUCUGUUAAGUCAGCGGUCAAAGCCCGGGGCUCAACCCCGGCCCGCCGUUGCAACUGGCAGG